UGGGGCUGUAGCUCAGUGGUAGAGUGCUUGCCUAGCAUGCAUGAGGCACUGGGUUCGAUCAUCAGAACCACAG
This 73-nucleotide transfer RNA is filed under the name Marmota monax (woodchuck). RNAcentral's name for it is "tRNA.Ala". It matches the Rfam family "tRNA". Rfam says of the family: Transfer RNA (tRNA) molecules are approximately 80 nucleotides in length. The record is from RNAcentral. Lineage: Eukaryota; Metazoa; Chordata; Mammalia; Rodentia; Sciuridae.